Molecule: small nuclear RNA, 24 nt
Filed under: Arabidopsis thaliana (thale cress)
Lineage: Eukaryota; Viridiplantae; Streptophyta; Magnoliopsida; Brassicales; Brassicaceae
Description: snRNA_02527
Source: RNAcentral
UAGCUACCCAAACGAAGGAAAGAU